This is a long non-coding RNA of Daphnia pulex (common water flea), 1663 nucleotides long. RefSeq lists it as uncharacterized. NCBI's taxonomy places the organism in Eukaryota, Metazoa, Arthropoda, Branchiopoda, Diplostraca, Daphniidae. The transcript has 8 exons. The record is from RefSeq and is a predicted model, not a curated record.
UGUUAGGCUGUUAGGACUUAGGGUGUCAUCAGCAGAGUGCCAGUGUACCGUGCCACGCCACAAUAACAAACACGAAGACGUUAACGUUGAGUAUGAUAGAUUGCUGACAAACUCAGCAUGGUGAUGUAUAGAAAUUGAAGACUUUGAUAUACAGUGAGAAUUUGGCAAUACCAAAUAAGCCCGUUCACGUAAACCUUUCUUUUGUUUCUGGAUUGCCUAAUCAUAGUACAAUUAUCACCCACGGGUCCCGUCUCUCUUUUGGUUGAAACAAGGCAUUCAAGUAGCCUGAAUGGUUUGAAACAGCUCAGCCCAGGAUUCACACAUCACAUUGGUGCAAGAAGAUGUACUGUGUGUGUAUUUAUCGGACAACAAUUACACCACCUACAUGGACUCCUAACACAAUGUUUUGCCCAAGAAUCCACCCGGUCUACAUGGAUCGUCAACCUACAUGGCAGUUCCUCACUGAACAGUAAAAUACCACUGUCAUCAAAGCUUUACUUCAGCUAUAGGCCUACCCCUUUCGGUUGUUACUACGAGAAAAUGAGAUCGCAUGUCAGUCUCGCCAAUCUUUAAUUCAUCAUCGUGGAGUUGUACAAAUGUACAGCAAACAAGAUGUCUCUUUUUGUACAUCCAUUAAUACUGCAAAAGAAUUCUUUGUUGAUUAAAGAAGAAGUCCAAUAUCGGCAGCAAUCUGCAGAAUAAUCCAACUUGUCGCAGUAAGUGAUGAUUGGAUUUUCCUUAUGGCGACGUGAAGUAAUAGGACGAAGGUAGGAUUCGAAUUCGUCCACCAGGGGGUGCGCUAAAAUGGCAAAACCACGUCAUUCGUCUUCGGGGCGUCUAUGGUGUUGUUUGUAUGACUUUGUAUGACGCUGGCUGUAUCCAUUACGUCGGAUUUCCAACAUUUUCCAUCAUGGAGAUGGAAAGGUGAUUUGUCGGUGGAGUGGAGUUCUUCUGUCUUUGGAGUUUUACGGUCGCCAUACCGGUGGAUUGUCCCCCCAUCCGCCAGGUGACGCGGGAGUCUUCGUGAUCGUGAGGAAAAAAUAUUUGUCAUUUGUUUGUUGUUUGAUUGUUUCCGAGACGCUGAUGUAUGUUCCGUAUUCUAAAUUCAUUACGGAAUUGAGGUGUCGAUCUACAUUCUCAGCCAAAUGUAAUUGGCAAUCUGGCAUAUAAUUUCACUUGGCCAAAUGUGAUGACGUGGGUCGAAACUGCUGCGCAUUUUGUCGAAAUGUUGGCCAUUGUUAGACACGUCUCAUCUCUGCAGAAGCACUUCAGAGCUAGUAAAGUCAGAGAUGGAGAUCCCUUUGCUCAACUGUUUCAGAAAUUUAGAACACAACAAAGUCUGAGCUUCAUGGCUGUAGGCCUGUAGUAUCAUUAAUGUCAUUUUGUUGCAGCCAGCUGGUGAAAAGUGUAAUAGAGUCCUGUUGAGCUGCAGCUGCUGCAUGCAUUUUAUUGAGCUGGUGUUAUUCCAAGUGUCACUGCACAAAAACUUUUAAGUAUAUUAACUUAUAAGACUACCUCAAUUCUUUCCCCUCAUUGAGCGAUGCCCGAGCCAGAAUUGUAACACUCCAGGUGAAAUUGAGCUCUUUGAAAUUGGACAACCAUGCCAAGGAUAAAUUCCUCUGUUUUUUUCCUGUACCGGCUAGACGUUUUGUAAGAAACACUU